CGUUCAACAGAAAGAACCGGGAAAGAAACUAGAAAUUCAGAGAGCAGGAGCUUGAGGACGUCGAACCGCCUUGUUUGUGAUUGGUCCAAAGAAAAGCUAGGAGCCAAUCGGGUUAGAAUGUCGCUUCACCGCGUCAUAACUCAUUUGCAUAAAGUUGAGAAAAAUUCAUCUCCGUGUCGCUUGUCGCUCUGUCGCUUUGUCGCUUGUCGCCUCUCGCGUGUCGCGGCGACAAAUCGCGCCCUGCCAUAGGAAAUGAAUGGUCGCCUGUCGCUUUCCAGUGUGAACGCAGGGUUAACGCGGCACCUGAUUGGCAAACAGAAAUUUCACGUCUUUCUUCAGAGAAGACUCUGUUGAUUCUGCGCAUGUGCACUAGUAAACUGUAAACCGAGCCAAACCUUUAAAUAAAGCGUUAAACUCGAUAUUUUCAGCACCUCUUUGACAAAAAUGAAAAGGAUUACUGUAAAAUGGACUGAUGGAUUUACUUAUUUGGAGCGAUUUUGAAGCAGCAGGGAGAGAUGGUGAAUUUCUGAAAUCUCGUGCUGCUGAGCUGCAUUGCAUCCAACCAUUCCGAAGCCCCUCGCUGCAGCUGGAGGCGCGUAACCAACUUUCUCACUGGCGCAGUUCUGGAGUUUGACGUGUCGUGCAGGUCACGCAUCAAAUACAAACCAAUCGAAGGUCUGAAUGGAUAUCUUCACAGGGAACAGUGCCAUGGAGAUAAUAUCAAGCCAAACCUAUCCUCCUGCGUGUGAGAAGGGAUAAUCUUUUUUUAUUAUUGUACCGUUCACGAGGUCAUUUCGAGACUAAUUUGUUCAUUAUUUCUCUCACACUACUGUCCCUACUGAAUGCAGCAGGAUUGGGCCCUAAAUAUUUCCUUUGUGAUAAAUGAUGAGAAGAGCAGAAUUCUGAAUUUCUUAAUGUCAAACAUGAAAUUAAAUUCACCUCGGACCCACACUGCUAUUCCUCUCUGAUGUGCUUUUGGUAAGAUGGAAAUAAUUUGAAUCCUAAAAUGUGGUUGCACAGUCAUGCCCUAACAACCAAAUUUCCCCUUAAACAUCCAGCCUAAUUUACAUACACUUUCCUCUACCCAGACACAUCAUCUGAAAAGAAGAAGUAUGCCUAAAAAAGAAACACUGCAUCAACGUUUUACUUCAGCUAUGAAUGCUUCAAAAACAAGCAUAAUUUUGAUUCUAUUUGAGUAACAUAUACCCAACGAAAAACACUACUAAAUGAGACUGACUGUUUUUAUCAUGUAUUUAUUCUACAUUCAGCUAACUUCACAGUAAAACCUGGAAAGUUUAAAUAUCUACUUUUUUCUAUUUUUACUAAUUCAGGUUUGAAGGGUGUUCAGUGUUGGAGUCAUUUGAGUUGAACAUUUCAGUGCUAACCCAAAUAAACAAAUUCAAAAUGAUUUAAUUAGGCUAUUUUCUAAUUAAUUUCUGUCUGGAGACAGCACUAUCCAGUUAUCCAAUUAUUGAUUAAAAAUACAAACUAUAGAAUCUACUCAAUACACCUGAAUACUUGAAUUCAAAUUUGCACUCACUUUGUUUGUGUAGAGUAAAUUAAACAGCUGAGACAAAAAAUAAAGUAAAUUUCACAUUACACAAACUGCAAUUUUCCUAUUGGCUCCUGGCAUUAUUUAUUUACAUAAAAGGCAAGUCUCCCCCAACCAUAGCUUGCCCGCCAGGGCUGACUUUCCUUGGUAAUUUAGUUAUAUCUCUAUAUAAUGGUUAUUUGUAUGUUGUACUAUGUUGUAGGUCAUGUGAGCAAGUUACUAUUUUCAGUAUCGUAUGACAAAGUGCUGGCAAAGCAGUAAGACUGCUGGAUUAAAUCUCUCGUACAAUGGAGAUGUUUAUGCAGUUUAAAGGACCAAAAACACAAGCCAACCUUCCCUGAAUAAACAAUUGUUAGUCAUAUUGAUAGAGUAAUCUUAUUCUAUUAUAGUGUUGAGUUUAGUAGAAAUCAACACUUGACUUUUACUGUAUAUGCUGUUCAACUUCUGGAAGUAGUAGUAGUAGAAAAAGUGUUAGGGUUAGAUGUGCAUAAUUAGUUCAGUUGUAGAACUGAGUACACUGGAACUCGCUCUUACAGUACACACAAGAGUCCAGGUGAUUAAACACAGACUGUAUGAAAGAUUCCAUAAUAAAUAAAGGCAGUUUUAUUUAGUAAUGCUGCACUGACUAGAAACCAUUCGUCAAGUAAAUGUAGUUGAAAGUAGGGCAAAAGGUUAAAUGUUGUUUUUGUGAAAUUAAUACAAUUUUACAAAAUAAAAAAAAAGUUAAAAAAUAAAAUAAAAUACAGACCCCACGUCUAAUAUUUGGUUACAUUUACCUUUGCAAACUGCACCGAAAGGUAGCGAUUCCACAGCCACUGUUGAUGUGGACACAGCUGAGCCCAGGUUUUAACCAUCUAGCACUUGGCUUGAAGUUAUGUUAAAGAAUUCUGUGCAAGCCUCAUUAUUCUACUACCUCAUUAUUCUAUCCAUUAUGAGUAGUGUUCCAUUUUUAAAACAGCAGCAGAGCAUGGAUACUACCACCACCAUGCUUAAGAGUUGGUAAAGUGUUCUUGUUUUUAUUUUUCCACGUAUCUGUUGUACCUAGUACAACAUAGAUGGGGGGGCCUUCCCGAAGGAGUUCACUAAGCAUACAACUGUCAAAGUAAAAGUAGAAAAUAAAAGACAGAUGAGAAUCAAACUGUUUAAAGAAAGGAGAAGACAGAUUUAUUUAGCAGAUAGUUUCAAUCUUACAAAUUGGUUUGAAACCCCCAAGUCUUCUAGGAUACAGAGUUAAAAGCACAAGGUUUUAUACAGGUAAAAUGGGUUGAACACUCGGUGGGCUGAAAUACAGAUGGGGCAUCAAGCUCCACCUUUCUUUUGUCACAUAACCCUCUUCAGCUUUGUACAUAAUCGUAUCCAAUUGAUCAGAGAAAAAAAAAAACUCAAACAGCCAGGACGAGCUGACCUGUGUUUGCUCUUAUCUUAUAGAAGGCUUUCACAUUCCGCUCUGCUAACGAGUUGUUGGCUUCCUCAUCCGGGAAAGUUGUCAGUUCCCACUCAUAGAUCUUAGUGAGUUGGGUGCUUUUUUUUACCGUUAGUGUAUGUUGGCCUACUGCCACUGUCCAAACUAUCAUCUUUGUUGCCAAUUAGUCCACACCUGUCCUUUGCUCUCACUCCUUUCCGAGCUCAGAGUCUUCUCACUCACACACACACACAUAUACUAGCAGGAGUUCACUCAAAGGACAAACGCAGAUCCUUCUUAUGCUGUUUCACAGUAAUACUGUGUUAACAUACACUUGUAUAUGUCUAUAGGCUAACAAUUGGGUCCCCACGUAUCUUUAUCUAAUCUUACUAUAAAAAGCCUCUCAGUCCAUGGCGAUUGUAAAAUUGUCUUGACUGUAGACGGUGUCACCAAUGUUGCAGCAGCUACCAUUUUUUUCAGGCCUGUAAUUUAGUUGUUCUUUGAUUCAUCCUGACCAUCUGAACCUAUUUCCUGUCUGCUGAGAGUAGCAGUUAAGGAGUGUACUGAACUGACAUUUGCAAGAACUGAGAACAUUUUCAAGAACAGAGACUUUGUUUGAACUGAUGACCUUGGAAUCUGCAGUUGUUUAGAAAUGGCUCCAAGACAUUCCUGACUGCAAAUCGUGUCUUUUGUCAAUGUGCUGUGAGUUAGUCGGUCCAACUGGUCCUGUCAGAGAAAACCAUUUUUAAUGCGAGCACAGAUAUAAAGCUACCAACAUAUAUGCAUCACUUUGACCCUAUUCCAAAGGAAAUGUGACACUGCAAGUGCUGCUGAUAUAAGAAUAAAAGAAAAAAUUGUGAGCACAUUGUCUGAACUGUCUGAUGAGUGAGCAAAAAAAGUACAUAUAGUGUGAAGAUUCUGUGUUACAGGAUAUCUGUGCAGUGUGAGGCUGUUUUAACACUGAAUGUUGUAAGUAGUGUUGUAGAAAAGAAAAUGAAAAGUGGGCUACCCCCACCUCUCGUCCGGGGUACAACUCCCCUGCGUGUUCGUUUGAUAGAGAGAGUCAGACAGGUGGAGUGAAGUUGAAAGCAAACCAAGUAUUUAUUACAAAGUACUGAAUAUUCAGGAGAACCAACACAUGAAAGACCGUCUAACAGCCGUCCCAGCAUAAGUUCUGACCCCCCUCUGAUCUGACUCCAUGUUUUAUACCCCAAAUGACGUGAAACCUGCUGAUGAGGCGUUGCUAAAAUCAUCUCAUGUUAGUGUGCAUAAUUUCACGUGUUAGUAAUCCAUUUCACGUGUCUGACCGGACCAUCAGUGUUUGGCCUUGACUGUGUUCUUCCAGACAGUGUGGUAUUGUUUUAAGAAUUGACUGGGUCCAGUCACAGUGUGAUAUUGUUUCAGUAAUUAGACAGUGCCACCCUCCCUAUGUGCGCGCAUCCUCCCGCUUUGGUAGGUGAAGGACUUUGCACGCACAGAGAGAAAGGCCACACUGUUUGUCCUGAAGCCUCCUUUGUAUCAAUUUAGUUCAUACAGAGUGCACCAGCUGAUGAUUGAUGGCCGUUAGUCAGAGACAUGCAGAUAAACAAAAUGCUUCAAACAUGAGCUAUAUAAGUUUCACAAUAGUUCUCAUAUGUUAUAUGUUAAUGUGUUAGUGGCGCGUGGUUAGUCCGCCAUAUAAUAGAUCCUAUGUGUUAAUAUACGCCUUAUGUAUCAUGUGGGUUAAUUUGUCAUAAUAAGGAUGAUGUUAGACACAUGCUCGAUCAAACAGUGUUUUAAAGAAUAUACUGUGAUUAUUGGUUAAUCUUUUAUAUAAAUGCGUGUAAAAUACACUGUGAGUAAUAAAGAUGAUCAAAUACAA
Long non-coding RNA from Astyanax mexicanus (Mexican tetra), 4815 nucleotides. RefSeq lists it as uncharacterized. The transcript is spliced from 3 exons. The record is from RefSeq and is a predicted model, not a curated record. NCBI's taxonomy places the organism in Eukaryota, Metazoa, Chordata, Actinopteri, Characiformes, Acestrorhamphidae.